Hyaena hyaena (striped hyena) is the source of this 441-nucleotide long non-coding RNA. RefSeq lists it as uncharacterized. Lineage: Eukaryota; Metazoa; Chordata; Mammalia; Carnivora; Hyaenidae. The transcript has 2 exons. The record is from RefSeq and is a predicted model, not a curated record.
ACCUCUCAGCCUGUGAGAAAGCCAUGUUUGGUCUGGAUGAAGGCAGAAGUCAUUGCUCCUUGAAGAAGAGACAGAGCUGAAGCCAAGCUGGACUGACUGAGCAUGGAGAUGAGGGAGCCUGGGAGGUGCAAUGAGAAAAACUGCAGCAGUAGAAGGGCAGACAUACGGGCUUUCUGACAGGCAGAGACCACCACUGGACAUACCCUAGGACAGAGGAUGGGCUCCACUCAUGAGCAGCUCCCCUCAGAGUAUCAGGGAGACCUGAACCUAUAACACUGAUCCAGUUUAGGACAGGAUCGGAUUCUGAUGCUGAAGACUUGUGUGAUCUCUACAGAAAGAAAACUUGCCUCAAGCCCUACUUGAUAUUAAUAUUUACCGGUCCAGCAACAGACGGAGAAAGAGCUCUUUCGUGGCAUGGGAAAUAAAGACAACCUCGGUGGA